Molecule: ribosomal RNA, 264 nt
Filed under: uncultured bacterium
Lineage: Bacteria
Description: partial 16S ribosomal RNA
Rfam family: Bacterial small subunit ribosomal RNA
Source: RNAcentral
AUGAACGCUGGCGGCGUGCUUAACACAUGCAAGUCGAACGAUUAAAGCUCACUUCGGUGAGUGUAUAGAGUGGCGAACGGGUGAGUAACACGUGGGAAACCUGCCCCUUUCUUCGGGAUAACUUCGGGAAACCGUUGCUAAUACCGGAUACUCCGGGAUGGCCGCAUGGCCGACCCGGGAAAGCUUUAUGUGGAAAGGGAUGGUCCCGCGGCCCAUUAGCUUGUUGGUGGGGUAAUGGCCUACCAAGGCGAUGAUGGGUAGCCG